AGGCCUUGCUUGGAUGAUCCAGGAUAAGCUCUCCAUCUGAAGAUCUUUAAUCACAUCUGCCAAGUCUUGGCCAUCCAUACAGGAACCUUUCAGGUAGUAAUGUGUGUCAACUGGGAAAAAAAGAGAACGCAGACAAACAAGUGAAAGAGUUACAGAAGGCUAAUCCCAAAAGGAGAUGUUGCCUUUUCCAAGUUGCAACCGAACUUAAAGGGCUAUAAGAAGUCUUCACCAUUUUCAGGAGUUCAAGAUAGAUCAUCAGAGAAUUUGGGUGAAUCUCUCAUAAUGUACAAAUCCAGAGAGAAAGGUAAAGAAAGAUGUAAAAGGGGAAGAAAAAGAAAACAAAAUGGAAAAAAUACAAAAAUGUAAUGUUCACACUGCCUGUUCAAUCAUAAAUAAAUACAGCAAAACAUAUUCACUGCUAUGCUCCUUUCAUCUA
Long non-coding RNA from Neofelis nebulosa (Clouded leopard), 436 nucleotides. RefSeq lists it as uncharacterized. The record is from RefSeq and is a predicted model, not a curated record. The transcript is spliced from 3 exons. NCBI's taxonomy places the organism in Eukaryota, Metazoa, Chordata, Mammalia, Carnivora, Felidae.